UCCUACGGGAGGCAGCAGUGGGGAAUAUUGGACAAUGGGGGCAACCCUGAUCCAGCAAUGCCGCGUGUGUGAAGAAGGUCUUCGGAUUGUAAAGCACUUUCGACGGGGACGAUGAUGACGGUACCCGUAGAAGAAGCCCCGGCUAACUUCGUGCCAGCAGCCGCGGUAAU
This 170-nucleotide ribosomal RNA is filed under the name uncultured bacterium. RNAcentral's name for it is "partial 16S ribosomal RNA". It matches the Rfam family "Bacterial small subunit ribosomal RNA", at positions 337 to 524 of the family's 1533-position model. The record is from RNAcentral.